UACGUAGGGUGCAAGCGUUGUCCGGAAUUAUUGGGCGUAAAGAGCUCGUAGGCGGUUCGUCGCGUCGGCUGUGAAAACCCGGAGCUCAACUCCGGGCCUGCAGUCGAUACGGGCGGACUUGAGUGUUGCAGGGGAGACUGGAAUUCCUGGUGUAGCGGUGAAAUGCGCAGAUAUCAGGAGGAACACCGGUGGCGAAGGCGGGUCUCUGGGCAACUACUGACGCUGAGGAGCGAAAGCGUGGGGAGCGAGCAGG
RNAcentral lists this ribosomal RNA (253 nucleotides) under uncultured bacterium. RNAcentral's name for it is "partial 16S ribosomal RNA". It matches the Rfam family "Bacterial small subunit ribosomal RNA", at positions 524 to 776 of the family's 1533-position model. The record is from RNAcentral.